GCCCCCGAGGAGCGUUGCAACGGGCCAUACGCGCCCGCCAGGCUCGGGGUGUCAACCGCAACGGCGCUCACGAGCU
Molecule: non-coding RNA, 76 nt
Filed under: Betaproteobacteria bacterium
Lineage: Bacteria; Pseudomonadati; Pseudomonadota; Betaproteobacteria
Description: SAH sequence
Rfam family: SAH (S-adenosyl-L-homocysteine) riboswitch aptamer
Source: RNAcentral